AGCGUAGGCGGACUUUUAAGUGAGAUGUGAAAUACCCGGGCUUAACUUGGGUGCUGCAUUUCAAACUGGAAGUCUAGAGUGCAGGAGAGGAGAAUGGAAUUCCUAGUGUAGCGGUGAAAUGCGUAGAGAUUAGGAAGAACACCAGUGGCGAAGGCGAUUCUCUGGACUGUAACUGACGCUGAGGCUCGAAAGCGUGGGGAGCAAACA
This 207-nucleotide ribosomal RNA is filed under the name uncultured Clostridium sp. RNAcentral describes it as "partial 16S ribosomal RNA". It matches the Rfam family "Bacterial small subunit ribosomal RNA", at positions 568 to 774 of the family's 1533-position model. The record is from RNAcentral. Lineage: Bacteria; Bacillati; Bacillota; Clostridia; Eubacteriales; Clostridiaceae.